GACGAACGCUGGCGGCGUGCCUAAUACAUGCAAGUAGAACGCUGAAGGAGGAGCUUGCUUCUCUGGAUGAGUUGCGAACGGGUGAGUAACGCGUAGGUAACCUGCCUGGUAGUGGGGGAUAACUAUUGGAAACGAUAGCUAAUACCGCAUAAUAGCAGUUGUUGCAUGAUAACUGUUUGAAAGGUGCAAUUGCACCGCUACCAGAUGGACCUGCGUUGUAUUAGCUAGUUGGUGGGGUAACGGCUCACCAAGGCGACGAUACAUAGCCGACCUGAGAGGGUGAUCGGCCACACCGGGACUGAGACACGGCCCAGACUCCUACGGGAGGCAGCAGUAGGGAAUCUUCGGCAAUGGACGGAAGUCUGACCGAGCAACGCCGCGUGAGUGAAGAAGGUUUUCGGAUCGUAAAGCUCUGUUGUAAGAGAAGAACGAGUGUGAGAGUGGAAAGUUCACACUGUGACGGUAUCUUACCAGAAAGGGACGGCUAACUACGUG
RNAcentral lists this ribosomal RNA (495 nucleotides) under uncultured bacterium. RNAcentral's name for it is "partial 16S ribosomal RNA". It matches the Rfam family "Bacterial small subunit ribosomal RNA", at positions 28 to 507 of the family's 1533-position model. The record is from RNAcentral.